GACAGAGGAGGCAAGCGUUGUUCGGCAUCAUUGGGCUUAAAGCGCGCGUAGGCGGCCUUGUAAGUGUCUUGUGAAAUCCCACGGCUCACCCGUGGAGCUGCAGGGCAAACUGCAAGACUUGAGGUCGGUAGAGGCGCCUGGAACUCUAGGUGGAGCGGUGAAAUGCGUAGAUAUCUAGGGGAACGCCGGAGGCGAAGGCGGGGCGCUGGGCCGAUUCUGACGCUGAUGCGCGAAAGCGUGGGGAGCAAACAGG
RNAcentral lists this ribosomal RNA (253 nucleotides) under uncultured bacterium. RNAcentral's name for it is "partial 16S ribosomal RNA". It matches the Rfam family "Bacterial small subunit ribosomal RNA", at positions 524 to 776 of the family's 1533-position model. The record is from RNAcentral.